UAGAGUUUGAUCCUGGCUCAGAUUGAACGCUGGCGGCAUGCCUUACACAUGCAAGUCGAACGGCAGCGCGGACUUCGGUCUGGCGGCGAGUGGCGAACGGGUGAGUAAUAUAUCGGAACGUGCCCUAGAGUGGGGGAUAACGCAGCGAAAGUUGCGCUAAUACCGCAUACGAUCUAAGGAUGAAAGUGGGGGAUCGCAAGACCUCAUGCUCUGGGAGCGGCCGAUAUCUGAUUAGCUAGUUGGUAGGGUAAAAGCCUACCAAGGCUCCGAUCAGUAGCUGGUCUGAGAGGACGACCAGCCACACUGGGACUGAGACACGGCCCAGACUCCUACGGGAGGCAGCAGUGGGGAAUUUUGGACAAUGGGCGCAAGCCUGAUCCAGCAAUGCCGCGUGAGUGAAGAAGGCCUUCGGGUUGUAAAGCUCUUUUGUCAGGGAAGAAACGGUGCGGGCUAAUAUCCUGUGCUAAUGACGGUACCUGAAGAAUAAGCACCGGCUAACUACGUGCCAGCAGCCGCGGUAAUA
Molecule: ribosomal RNA, 523 nt
Filed under: uncultured bacterium
Lineage: Bacteria
Description: bacterial SSU rRNA
Rfam family: Bacterial small subunit ribosomal RNA
Source: RNAcentral